CAGGUAGGUCACCCCUCAGUGUGCUGGUCAGGUAGGUCACCCCUCUGGGGGCCCUCAGUGUGCUGGUCAGGUAGGUCACCCCUCUGGGGGCCCUCAGUGUGCUGGUCAGGUAGGUCACCCCUCAGUGUGCUGGUCAGGUAGGUCACCCCUCUGGGGGCCCUCAGUGUGCUGGUCAGGUAGGUCACCCCUCAGUGUGCUGGUCAGGUAGGUCACCCCUCUGGGGGCCCCUCAGUGUGCUGGUCAGGUAGGUCACCCCUCAGUGUGCUGGUCAGGUAGGUCACCCCUCUGGGGCCCCUCAGUGUGCUGGUCAGGUAGGUCACCCCUCUGGGGGCCCUCAGUGUGCUGGUCAGGUAGGUCACCCCUCUGGGGGCCCUCAGUGUGCUGGUCAGGUAGGUCACCCCUCUGGGGGCCCUCAGUGUGCUGGUCAGGUAGGUCACCCCUCAGUGUGCUGGUCAGGUAGGUCACCCCUCUGGGGGCCCUCAGUGUGCUGGUCAGGUAGGUCACCCCUCUGGGGGCCCUCAGUGUGCUGGUCAGGUAGGUCACCCUCUGGGGGCCCUCAGUGUGCUGGUCAGGUAGGUCACCCCUCUGGGGGCCCUCAGUGUGCUGGUCAGGUAGGUCACCCCUCUGGGGGCCCUCAGUGUGCUGGUCACGUAGGUCACCCCUCUGGGGGCCCUCAGUGUGCUGGUCAGGUAGGUCACCCCUCUGGGGGCCCUCAGUGUGCUGGUCAGGUAGGUCACCCCUCUGGGGGCCCUCAGUGUGCUGGUCAGGUAGGUCACCCCUCUGGGGGCCCUCAGUGUGCUGGUCAGGUAGGUCACCCCUCAGUGUGCUGGUCAGGUAGGUCACCCC
This is a long non-coding RNA of Coregonus clupeaformis (lake whitefish), 846 nucleotides long. RefSeq lists it as uncharacterized. The record is from RefSeq and is a predicted model, not a curated record. NCBI's taxonomy places the organism in Eukaryota, Metazoa, Chordata, Actinopteri, Salmoniformes, Salmonidae. The transcript is spliced from 3 exons.